Molecule: ribosomal RNA, 875 nt
Filed under: uncultured bacterium
Lineage: Bacteria
Description: bacterial SSU rRNA
Rfam family: Bacterial small subunit ribosomal RNA
Source: RNAcentral
AAAUUGCAGUUGAUACUGGGGGCCUUGAGUGCGGCAGAGGCAGGCGGAAUUCGUGGUGUAGCGGUGAAAUGCUUAGAUAUCACGAAGAACUCCGAUUGCGAAGGCAGCUUGCUGGACCGUAACUGACGUUGAUGCUCGAAAGUGCGGGUAUCAAACAGGAUUAGAUACCCUGGUAGUCCGCACAGUAAACGAUGAAUACUCGCUGUUGGCGAUAUACUGCCAGCGGCCAAGCGAAAGCGUUAAGUAUUCCACCUGGGGAGUACGCCGGCAACGGUGAAACUCAAAGGAAUUGACGGGGGCCCGCACAAGCGGAGGAACAUGUGGUUUAAUUCGAUGAUACGCGAGGAACCUUACCCGGGCUUGAACUGCAGCGGAAUGAUUUGGAAACAGAUCAGCGAGCAAUCGCCGCUGUGGAGGUGCUGCAUGGUUGUCGUCAGCUCGUGCCGUGAGGUGUCGGCUUAAGUGCCAUAACGAGCGCAACCCUUACCGAUAGUUGCCAUCAGGUGACGCUGGGGACUCUAUCGGGACUGCCGUCGUAAGAUGUGGGGAAGGUGGGGAUGACGUCAAAUCAGCACGGCCCUUACGUCCGGGGCUACACACGUGUUACAAUGGGGGGUACAGCAGGCCGCUACCGGGCGACCGGAUGCCAAUCCCUAAAACCCCUCUCAGUUCGGACUGGAGUCUGCAACCCGACUCCACGAAGCUGGAUUCGCUAGUAAUCGCGCAUCAGCCACGGCGCGGUGNNNACGUUCCCGGGCCUUGUACACACCGCCCGUCAAGCCAUGAAAGCCGGGGNNNNNNNNAGUGCGCUUCCGCGAGGGGCGCCCUAGGGUAAAACCGGUGAUUGGGGCUAAGUGGUAACAAGGUAGCCGUAA